AACGAACGCUGGCGGCAGGCCUAACACAUGCAAGUCGAGCGCGCCUUCGGGUGAGCGGCGGACGGGUGAGUAACACGUGGGAAUAUGCCUUUCGGUGCGGAAUAGUCUUGGGAAACUGAGGGUAAUACCGCAUACGCCCCCUGGGGGAAAGAUUUAUCGCCGAAAGAUUAGCCCGCGUUGGAUUAGGUAGUUGGUGGGGUAAUGGCCUACCAAGCCGACGAUCCAUAGCUGGUUUGAGAGGAUGAUCAGCCACACUGGGACUGAGACACGGCCCAGACUCCUACGGGAGGCAGCAGUGGGGAAUCUUAGACAAUGGGGGCAACCCUGAUCUAGCCAUGCCGCGUGAGUGAUGAAGGCCUUAGGGUUGUAGAGCUCUUUCAGCUGGGAAGAUAAUGACGGUACCAGCAGAAGAAGCCCCGGCUAACUCCGUGCCAGCCGCCGCCGUAA
RNAcentral lists this ribosomal RNA (447 nucleotides) under uncultured bacterium. RNAcentral describes it as "partial 16S ribosomal RNA". It matches the Rfam family "Bacterial small subunit ribosomal RNA", at positions 29 to 523 of the family's 1533-position model. The record is from RNAcentral.